UACAGAGGGUGCAAGCGUUAAUCGGAAUUACUGGGCGUAAAGCGUGCGUAGACGGUCAUGUAAGUCGGGUGUGAAAGCCCCGGGCUCAACCUGGGAAUUGCAUUCGAGACUGCAUGGCUAGGGUGCGGAAGAGGGAAGCGGAAUUUCCGGUGUAGCGGUGAAAUGCGUAGAUAUCGGAAGGAACACCAGUGGCGAAAGCGGCUUCCUGGUCCAGCACUGACGUUCAGGCACGAAAGCGUGGGGAGCAAACAGG
RNAcentral lists this ribosomal RNA (253 nucleotides) under uncultured bacterium. RNAcentral describes it as "partial 16S ribosomal RNA". It matches the Rfam family "Bacterial small subunit ribosomal RNA", at positions 524 to 776 of the family's 1533-position model. The record is from RNAcentral.